GUAAGGGGGCUGGUGACUUUCCCCUCUUUAAGAGGGGAGGAAGUUCCGCCCACCCCAUUUAUGGGCAGCGUCCCCUGAGAAGGGGCGGGAGAUGCAGCAGAAACGACACGGCUCCGGAAGAGAUGACGAUGAUAGUGAAAGUUGAGGACUUCCGGAGAACCGGUGAAACGGGCAUCUCCCCUGCCCGGGGUGCAAGCCGGUUUCGGCGCUUAGCCGAAUGUCACCGAAAUUACAGAAGGCGGGCUAUAGCCCCCAUAC
Non-coding RNA from Methanocaldococcus jannaschii DSM 2661, 258 nucleotides. It matches the Rfam family "Archaeal RNase P". From Rfam's summary of the family: Ribonuclease P (RNase P) is a ubiquitous endoribonuclease, found in archaea, bacteria and eukarya as well as chloroplasts and mitochondria. Its best characterised activity is the generation of mature 5'-ends of tRNAs by cleaving the 5'-leader elements of precursor-tRNAs. NCBI's taxonomy places the organism in Archaea, Methanobacteriati, Methanobacteriota, Methanococci, Methanococcales, Methanocaldococcaceae. The record is from Rfam.